Molecule: long non-coding RNA, 759 nt
Filed under: Olea europaea subsp. europaea
Lineage: Eukaryota; Viridiplantae; Streptophyta; Magnoliopsida; Lamiales; Oleaceae
Source: RNAcentral
UACACAUCUUGUUCCAUAAAAUCUUCCUUUCAUGUGAGUAUUUCAUGAAAACUAUCAUUUUCCAAACUUUACUUCUCUUUGAUUAUUUACCAACCAAUCAUCCCACAUAAUCAAAUCCAUUAAUUUACCGUACUUUCUUAAAUCACUACUUUAUAAACAUACAACCUCUACAUACAACUUAAUCCAUUCCUUAUUAAAUCGCUUUAUUCCCUUUUUAAUUUCCAUAUGGCAGAACAUAGUCUCAUUUACCGAUUUAUUUACAGAAUAUGUUUUCCACAUUCAUUUCCCCACUACAUUGGCACAAUAACAUACUACCUUCCAACAUCUUGAAUUUACACUAUAAAUACUGUCCCUUUUUAUUUUGCUCUGUAAUAUCAAAAUUACUAAAUCAAGAACAUACCACAUUCAGGCUAAAUUGAAUUCCAAUUAAACACAAUUCAUCUCUUCUUCAUCAGUUUACUACUGCCACACUAACAUCAAGCUAUGCAAUUAGGUAUGUUCCCUUCUUAAUACUUCCAACCACUAGACAUAUACAUGUGCCAAAACAAUUCAUUAAUUGACUCAAAUCCUCACCUGCCUUUUGAUUUCUUUAUUUAAAUUUCAAUUUUAACCCCAUUUACUUACUGAUUUUUUUUUUUUUUUUUUUUGUUCUUUUCACAAAGCUCCAACCCGAAAAUUCAUAAAUAUUUGAUUCACAUAACUUAAAAGCUUCAAAAAUGGUUUACCCAUACUAAACCAUCAAGAAUUUGAACUUCUUUA